UACAGAGGUGGCAAGCGUUGUUCGGAAUUACUGGGCGUAAAGGGCGCGUAGGCGGCCUUCUAAGUCAGACGUGAAAUCCCCCGGCUUAACCUGGGAACUGCGUCUGAUACUGGGAGGCUUGAGUAUGGGAGAGGGAUGUAGAAUUCCAGGUGUAGCGGUGAAAUGCGUAGAUAUCUGGAGGAAUACCGGUGGCGAAGGCGGCAUCCUGGACCAUAACUGACGCUGAGGCGCGGAAGCUAGGGGAGCAAACGGG
RNAcentral lists this ribosomal RNA (253 nucleotides) under uncultured bacterium. RNAcentral describes it as "partial 16S ribosomal RNA". It matches the Rfam family "Bacterial small subunit ribosomal RNA", at positions 524 to 776 of the family's 1533-position model. The record is from RNAcentral.